GUUAUAUAUUAAUUUAUUGUGUAAUCCCUAGCGGGCAAGAUUUUUUCAAAGAAUGAAAAAGAUCGUAAUCGUCUAGGUAAUAAAAAUUUAAAAAAAAAAAAAUGUUGUAAGUUUUUAGUUUUGCAAUAUAUUUUUUUUUUAAUAC
Small nucleolar RNA from Plasmodium falciparum Dd2, 145 nucleotides. It matches the Rfam family "small nucleolar RNA snoR31". Lineage: Eukaryota; Apicomplexa; Aconoidasida; Haemosporida; Plasmodiidae. The record is from Rfam.